AUGGAGGCGGGUACCGGCGCGGUUGCUUUUCUGCCCUGCGCUCCCUCCAUGUCUCCUCCUGCGCCUCCGGUGGCCAGACGCCUCUUCCACUCCGACCUAGGGGCACCCUCAUCGUUGGCGGAUUUUAUAUUUCUCAGGUCAGCCAGUGUGCAGCCACACCUGGUCAACAUCCAGUUUCAGAAGAAUGUACAGCUCGAGCUUGUUACUCUCUACAUGGAUUUCAAGUUGGAUGAGAGCUACACGCUGAGCAAGAUCUCCAUCUGGACUGGCGACGGCUUCCACAAUCUCAAGGAAAUUCCUCUUUUCGGAAGAUAG
Molecule: ribosomal RNA, 315 nt
Filed under: Triticum aestivum (bread wheat)
Lineage: Eukaryota; Viridiplantae; Streptophyta; Magnoliopsida; Poales; Poaceae
Description: partial small subunit ribosomal RNA
Source: RNAcentral